GCCAAGCCCCGCCCAUCUACCGUACUCACGAGCGUGGCGAGACCCGCUGCGUCCCUCUGCCCGUAGAGCUGCCCGUCGGAGAGACGGGCGGCCGUCGUUCUGUGCUUCGCUGCAGAUUUGUUUCGCACAAAAAUCACUGGUUUUCACUAUUUUUACGCUAUUUUUUUGGUUUUUUCUUAAUUUUCAGGCACAAAUAUCGAAUUUAAGAAGGAUUAGC
Caenorhabditis elegans is the source of this 217-nucleotide non-coding RNA. The record is from Ensembl. Lineage: Eukaryota; Metazoa; Nematoda; Chromadorea; Rhabditida; Rhabditidae.